AUCCAAAUAACGAGUCCCAAAUAGGACGAAACGCGCGUCAAUCUGGAU
Molecule: non-coding RNA, 48 nt
Organism: Schistosoma rodhaini
Lineage: Eukaryota; Metazoa; Platyhelminthes; Trematoda; Strigeidida; Schistosomatidae
Source: Rfam